GACGAACGCUGGCGGCGUGCCUAAUACAUGCAAGUAGAACGCUGAAGAGGGGAGCUUGCUCUUCUUGGAUGAGUUGCGAACGGGUGAGUAACGCGUAGGUAACCUGCCUUGUAGCGGGGGAUAACUAUUGGAAACGAUAGCUAAUACCGCAUAACAAUGGAUGACACAUGUCAUUUAUUUGAAAGGGGCAAUUGCUCCACUACAAGAUGGACCUGCGUUGUAUUAGCUAGUAGGUGAGGUAACGGCUCACCUAGGCGACGAUACAUAGCCGACCUGAGAGGGUGAUCGGCCACACUGGGACUGAGACACGGCCCAGACUCCUACGGGAGGCAGCAGUAGGGAAUCUUCGGCAAUGGGGGCAACCCUGACCGAGCAACGCCGCGUGAGUGAAGAAGGUUUUCGGAUCGUAAAGCUCUGUUGUAAGUCAAGAACGAGUGUGAGAGUGGAAAGUUCACACUGUGACGGUGGCUUACCAGAAAGGGACGGCUAACUACGUG
Molecule: ribosomal RNA, 497 nt
Filed under: uncultured bacterium
Lineage: Bacteria
Description: partial 16S ribosomal RNA
Rfam family: Bacterial small subunit ribosomal RNA
Source: RNAcentral